AGUGAACGCUGGCGGUAGGCCUAACACAUGCAAGUCGAACGGCAGCACAGUAAGAGCUUGCUCUUACGGGUGGCGAGUGGCGGACGGGUGAGGAAUACAUCGGAAUCUACUUUUUCGUGGGGGAUAACGUAGGGAAACUUACGCUAAUACCGCAUACGACCUACGGGUGAAAGCAGGGGAUCUUCGGACCUUGCGCGAUUGAAUGAGCCGAUGCCGGAUUAGCUAGUUGGCGGGGUAAAGGCCCACCAAGGCGACGAUCCGUAGCUGGUCUGAGAGGAUGAUCAGCCACACUGGAACUGAGACACGGUCCAGACUCCUACGGGAGGCAGCAGUGGGGAAUAUUGGACAAGGGGCGCAAGCCUGAUCCAGCCAUACCGCGUGGGUGAAGAAGGCCUUCGGGUUGUAAAGCCCUUUUGUUGGGAAAGAAAAGCAGCAGGUUAAUACCCCGCUGUUCUGACGGUACCCAAAGAAUAAGCACCGGCUAACUUCG
This 490-nucleotide ribosomal RNA is filed under the name uncultured bacterium. Its description in RNAcentral is "partial 16S ribosomal RNA". It matches the Rfam family "Bacterial small subunit ribosomal RNA", at positions 29 to 505 of the family's 1533-position model. The record is from RNAcentral.